This is a long non-coding RNA of Oncorhynchus gorbuscha (pink salmon), 1832 nucleotides long. RefSeq lists it as uncharacterized. NCBI's taxonomy places the organism in Eukaryota, Metazoa, Chordata, Actinopteri, Salmoniformes, Salmonidae. The transcript has 3 exons. The record is from RefSeq and is a predicted model, not a curated record.
GAGGCAGAACAUUUUUUUACAUCUAGGCUGAGGCUUGUUACCAGCAGGAACAUGGAGCACUCUCUGUCAGUGCUCCAGAGACAGAAUUGUCCUGCGAGCCUUCUGACCAACUACCUUUCAUCUCUCCAGAGCACAGAGAAGUGAGUCUGCUGGGCAAUGGAACUCUAGAGCAGUACAUCCAAAAAACCUUCCACCCUGUUGUCAGCUAUCUGCAGAUAGUUCCCUGAUGGAUGCAACUAUCAAGGCUUUCAAAGGCCACAUUUUGGGGGUGACCAAAUGCAUAAAGUUUUGUAUGAACUCAUUUUCAUUUUGUUAGAUUACAAAAUACCCUUUUCAUGUCAUGUUCGUCUUCACACUAACUUCUGUGGUAACUUUUAAACAAAGACGACACAUAGGCUAAUUGGGGUUUUGACAUCAGAUGUUGUUCAGAGCUGAUAUGAGUGGUCAAAAGACCAAUUACUGAAAAACAUAAUUGGGCAGCCUGUGUGAACGCAGCCUUAGUUUAUGCUUCAAAAGGCCUAGAGUAAAAGAGUCAUGUCUAGAUGAAUACAUUUUUAUUCAUGUAUAUGAGAUAUAUCUAUCCCUGACCAGAUUGAAGAAUGGGACAAGUAGACAAAGUGAAUGUCUGAUUGUCUGUAGCAUAAUUUGAGUGGUUACAUACAAUACAUGUUGACAGAAUGGCUGCGAGACAGUGUUGCUGUACUCCAGGUAAGACCCUUUCUUUCAGUACCACGGAAGGGCAUAGUUUACAUUCAGGCUGCUUUGAAGAAGUGUCACCAUCCAGGCCCAUGUCACAUCCUCUGAUGGGGAGAUGAAAUGCAUUUAUGUACCUUUCAUCACCAAAGCCAUGUUAGUGUUUACUGCACAUGUUGCUGAACAAUUCAACCCUUUUGUUAGUGUCAUUGAUAUGGAAAUUCACAUUCCGUUAAUAAGCAUUGACUAAUACCUCUAGGGCGGAGGUAGGCAACCCUUUUCCUGGAGUGCCGCAGGUGCUUAAUGUUUCUGAUUAAACUGACCUGGAAGACAAUCACUGAACUGAUAAGUUAGCUCAGUUGGUCAGUACGGAUUUCAGUACAUAGAACGUUCAAUUGAACGGAAGUGGUGCUGUACUGAAUGACCAGUUUAAAAAUGGGAAAGGCUUGGGUUGUCGGUUCAAAGUCUACCGCUGCCCUUUAAAUGUGUUGCUUCAAGCCACACACCCACUGAACGGCGCAAACGUAUGUCUAAGAACAUACAAGAACGUUUUGUUAAAAUGUCAUUCAGUACAAACCGUUCCACAAUGUAGCAAAUGAUUAAGUGAACUAUAGCCUAGAUGGAACAAAAUUCUUCAUUACCUGGGCUCCCGAGUGGCGCAGAUGUCUCAGGCACAGCAUCUCUUUGUGCUUGACCCUGGUUCUAUCCCGGGCUUGUAUCACAACCGGCCGGGAUCGGGAGUCCUAUAGGGCGUCGCACGUCGUUAGGGGAGGAUUUGGCCAGGGUAGGCUGUCAUUGUAAAAUAAGAAUUUGUUCUUAACUGACUUGACUUAAAUAAAAAGGUUUGCCUGCUCUAGGGUCCUGUGGUGAAGCGACUACUGUGCAAGGUAUUGGGCAACAGCUUUCUUCCAGGGUCCAUAUUCACAAAACAUCUCAGAGAGUGAUCUAAGAUAACCUCCUUGUCAAUGUAAUUGUAGUCAAUGUGAAGACAAUCCUAACAUCAGUACUCCUACUCUACUCUGAGAUUCUUUGUGAAUUUGGUCCCUGGCCUGUUAACACUGCACCUGAAAUGCAACAAAAAUAUGAAUAAUUAGCUCAGUAACUUAGCGAACUAGCCAAUGAAACACUUGUAAAUGUGC